GCAUGAGCUGUGGGUUCUAGGGUUUCAUCUCUAGGUUUUGUGAGAAGAAAAAUGUAAGAGUGAGUCUUGUCCAAUCUUCUAGACCACCACCUCCUUGUAAAGCUUCAUCUUUCGAUAUGAAAGAGUUCAAAAGAUUCGAAGAAAGGAGCUUGGAUCAGCCAUCUAGAGCCUUCAACACAAGCUAGCACUCCCGUGAAGGAAGAUCCGAUCUGAGCUUCGAGUGGAUGAUUUGUAGAGGUCAGAU
This 244-nucleotide long non-coding RNA is filed under the name Elaeis guineensis (African oil palm). Its description in RNAcentral is "long non-coding RNA (EGUI_LNC063885)". Lineage: Eukaryota; Viridiplantae; Streptophyta; Magnoliopsida; Arecales; Arecaceae. The record is from RNAcentral.